RNAcentral lists this ribosomal RNA (1057 nucleotides) under Lichtheimia corymbifera. Its description in RNAcentral is "SSU rRNA". It matches the Rfam family "Eukaryotic small subunit ribosomal RNA", at positions 782 to 1803 of the family's 1831-position model. Lineage: Eukaryota; Fungi; Mucoromycota; Mucoromycetes; Mucorales; Lichtheimiaceae. The record is from RNAcentral.
GGGCUUUUUAAGCCUUGAAACGGUGCUAGCCAUGGAAAUAAUGAAAAUUCGACGCCAGGGUUCUAUUUUCGUUUGGUUCUCAGAACCCAAAGUUAAUGAUGAAUUGGGAGGGGGUCGGGGGGCAUUUGUAAUUUCGGCGCUAGAGGUGAAAUUUCUUGGAUUGCCGGAAGACAAACUACUGCGAAAAGCAUUUGACCCAGGACAUCUCCAUUGAUCAAGGGCUAAAGUUGAGGGAUCGAAGACGAUUAGAUACCGUCGUAGUCUUAACCACAAACGAUGCCGACUAGAGAUCGGGCUUGACUAUUUAGGCUUGCUCGGGAUCUUAGCGAAAGCAAAGUUUUUGGGUUCUGGGGGGAGUACGGCUCGCAAGGCUGAAACUUAAAGGAAUUGACGGAAGGGCACCACCAGGAGUGGAGCCUGCGGCUUAAUUUGACUCAACACGGGGAAACUCACCAGGUCCAGACAUACGGAGGAUUGACAGAUUGAAAGCUCUUUCUAGAUUGUAUGGGUGGUGGUGCAUGGCCGUUCUUAGUUCGUGGAGUGAUUUGUCUGGUUAAUUCCGAUAACGAACGAGACCUUAUUCUGCUAAAUAGACAGACUCAUUUUUUAAUGGGGUUGAGGACUUCGGUUUUUACUGUCUUCUUAGAGAGACUAUCGUCUUUAAGACGAAGGAAGUUUGAGGCAAUAACAGGUCUGUGAUGCCCUUAGAUGUUCUGGGCCGCACGCGCGCUACACUGAUGCAGGCAGCGAGUUAUAAUUCCUUGGCUGACAAGUCUGGGUAAACUUUUGAAACUGCAUCGUGCUGGGGAUAGAGCAUUGCAAUUAUUGCUCUUCAACGAGGAAUUCCUAGUAAGCGCAAGUCAUCAGCUUGCGUUGAUUACGUCCCUGCCCUUUGUACACACCGCCCGUCGCUACUACCGAUUGAAUGGCACGAGCAAGCAUUAGGGACGAACUCGCUUGGGUUGGCAACGACCUUGAGUUGAGUGUGGCAGUUUACUGUCCUUCGGAACGCUUUGCAAGCUCUACCAUUAGAGAAGUAAAAGUCGAGCCAUGCCCC